This 270-nucleotide non-coding RNA is filed under the name Danio rerio (zebrafish). RNAcentral describes it as "Eukaryotic small subunit ribosomal RNA". It matches the Rfam family "Eukaryotic small subunit ribosomal RNA", at positions 1194 to 1443 of the family's 1831-position model. Lineage: Eukaryota; Metazoa; Chordata; Actinopteri; Cypriniformes; Danionidae. The record is from Rfam by way of RNAcentral.
CAUGAAUGCACGGGGAACCUCACCCGGGCCGGACACGGAAAGGAUUGACAGAUUGACGGCUCUUUCUCGAUUCUGUGGGUGGUGGUGCAUGGCCGUUUGUAGUUGGUGGAGCGAUUUGUCUGGUUGAUUCCGAUAACGAACGAGACUCUGGCAUGCUAACUAGUUACGCGGCCCCGCGCGGUCUGCGUCUGCAACUUCUUAGAGGGACAAGUGGCAUUCAGCCACGCGAGACCGAUUGUUAUUGAGUAAUUGUAAUUGUGAUUAUUGAAG